AACGCACAUUGCGCCCUCUGGUAUUCCGGGGGGCACACCUGUUCGAGCGUCAUCGCACACCUCAAGCUUUGCUUGGUGUUGGGCCAGUCGUCCCGGCCGUUCUGGCGGGACGCGCCUUAAAGCGAUGGGCGACGGUGCCUAGCUUCGGGCGUGAUAGAGGUUUUUCCACACCUAUCGCUCUGGAAGCCUAGGCUCCGGCAGCCCGGGAAGCCAUAACAUUCCACGGUUUGACCUCGGAUCAGGUAGGGAUACCCGCUGAACUUAA
RNAcentral lists this unclassified non-coding RNA (265 nucleotides) under uncultured Jahnulales. RNAcentral's name for it is "sequence contains 5.8S rRNA gene, ITS2, 28S rRNA gene". The record is from RNAcentral. Lineage: Eukaryota; Fungi; Ascomycota; Dothideomycetes; Jahnulales.